This 206-nucleotide ribosomal RNA is filed under the name uncultured bacterium. Its description in RNAcentral is "partial 16S ribosomal RNA". It matches the Rfam family "Bacterial small subunit ribosomal RNA", at positions 568 to 774 of the family's 1533-position model. The record is from RNAcentral.
UGCGUAGGUGGUUUCUUAAGUCAGAGGUGAAAGGCUACGGCUCAACCGUAGUAAGCCUUUGAAACUGGGAAACUUGAGUGCAGGAGAGGAGAGUGGAAUUCCUAGUGUAGCGGUGAAAUGCGUAGAUAUUAGGAGGAACACCAGUUGCGAAGGCGGCUCUCUGGACUGUAACUGACACUGAGGCACGGAAGCGUGGGGAGCAAACA